Molecule: ribosomal RNA, 510 nt
Filed under: uncultured bacterium
Lineage: Bacteria
Description: bacterial SSU rRNA
Rfam family: Bacterial small subunit ribosomal RNA
Source: RNAcentral
AGAGUUUGAUCAUGGCUCAGAGCGAACGCUGGCGGCGUGCUUAACACAUGCAAGUCGAAUGCGCAGCAUUCUGUAGCAAUACAGGAUGUAGGCGCAUGGCGAACGGGUGCGUAACACGUGGGCAACCUUCCCUUCGGUGGGGGAUACCCCCGCGAAAGCGGGACUAAUACCGCAUAACACUCCCUGGGUUAGUUCUCGGGGUUUCAAAGCAGCAAUGCGCCGGAAGAGGGGCCCGCGGCCGAUUAGCUAGUUGGUGAGGUAACGGCUCACCAAGGCUAAGAUCGGUAGCCGGUCUGAGAGGAUGAUCAGCCACACUGGGACUGAGACACGGCCCAGACUCCUACGGGAGGCAGCAGUGGGGAAUAUUGGACAAUGGGCGAAAGCCUGAUCCAGCCAUGCCGCGUGAGUGAUGAAGGCCCUAGGGUUGUAAAGCUCUUUCAACGGUGAAGAUAAUGACGGUACCGCAAGAAUAAGCCCCGGCUAACUUCGUGCCAGCCGCCGCGGUAAUUC